Molecule: ribosomal RNA, 389 nt
Filed under: Vibrio sp. P12-11
Lineage: Bacteria; Pseudomonadati; Pseudomonadota; Gammaproteobacteria; Vibrionales; Vibrionaceae
Description: bacterial SSU rRNA
Rfam family: Bacterial small subunit ribosomal RNA
Source: RNAcentral
GCGGAAACGAGUUAUCUGAACCUUCGGGGAACGAUAACGGCGUCGAGCGGCGGACGGGUGAGUAAUGCCUGGGAAAUUGCCCUGAUGUGGGGGAUAACUAUUGGAAACGAUAGCUAAUACCGCAUAACGUCUACGGACCAAAGAGGGGGACCUUCGGGCCUCUCGCUUCAGGAUAUGCCCAGGUGGGAUUAGCUAGUUGGUGAGGUAAUGGCUCACCAAGGCGACGANCCCUAGCUGGUCUGAGAGGAUGAUCAGCCACACUGGAACUGAGACACGGUCCAGACUCCUACGGGGAGGCAGCAGUGGGGAAUAUUGCACAAAUGGGGCGCAAGCCUGAUGCAGCCAUGCCGCGUGUAUGAAGAAGGCCUUCGGGGUUGUAAAAGUACUUU